RNAcentral lists this ribosomal RNA (513 nucleotides) under uncultured bacterium. RNAcentral's name for it is "bacterial SSU rRNA". It matches the Rfam family "Bacterial small subunit ribosomal RNA", at positions 335 to 847 of the family's 1533-position model. The record is from RNAcentral.
ACUCCUACGGGAGGCAGCAGUGGGGAAUAUUGCGCAAUGGCCGCAAGGCUGACGCAGCGACGCCGCGUGUGGGAGGACGCCUUUCGGGGUGUAAACCACUGUUGCCCGGGACGAACAACUGACAUUGGUCAGUCUGACGGUACCGGGUGAGGAAGCACCGGCUAACUCCGUGCCAGCAGCCGCGGUAAUACGGAGGGUGCGAGCGUUGUCCGGAAUCACUGGGCGUAAAGGGCGCGUAGGCGGUGCGGUAAGCGUGCGGUGAAAGCUCGGGGCUCAACCCCGAGUCGGCCGUGCGAACUGCUGGACUGGAGCAUGUCAGAGGCGGGUGGAAUUCCGGGUGUAGCGGUGGAAUGCGUAGAGAUCCGGAAGAACACCGGUGGCGAAGGCGGCCCGCUGGGACAUAGCUGACGCUGAGGCGCGACAGCGUGGGGAGCAAACAGGAUUAGAUACCCUGGUAGUCCACGCCGUAAACGAUGGGUACUAGGUGCUUGGGGGAGCGACCCCCUGGGUGCC